GGGGGCGAUCUGGUUUCGACGUGUGCGCCCGAAACCGUAGUCGCGUGCCGAGGUCUCGGACCCUCGUAAAACACCGGGAAGAAACAACAACUGCCAACGAUAACUUGGCUCUGGCCGCGUAACUAACGCGGUCCGUCUCACGUUUGGCCCGGCCCGAGGCGGGACAUGAGGCGACGACGUAUCGGGCUGGAUGGGGCCGCACGCCGCGGGCGGUUCCGUCGAGAGCGGCGAAAGCCGAGCGGCUGGCCGUCCGAGGGCCGUCUGCGAGCCCGAGGGUGGCGAGAACGCGAUCGUAGACUACGCACGUAGACGCUGCGGGCGAAGGCCUCGCGGACGCGGGUUCGAUUCCCGCCGCCUCCAUCA
RNAcentral lists this transfer-messenger RNA (363 nucleotides) under Gemmatimonadota. RNAcentral's name for it is "G020351855 sp020351855 Standard tmRNA". It matches the Rfam family "transfer-messenger RNA". Rfam says of the family: Bacterial tmRNA, also known as 10Sa RNA or SsrA, is named for its dual tRNA and mRNA-like properties. Its role is to liberate the mRNA from a stalled ribosome. To accomplish this part of the tmRNA is used as a reading frame that ends in a translation stop signal. RNAcentral also lists the same sequence under 2 other names. Lineage: Bacteria; Pseudomonadati. The record is from RNAcentral.